GUUUCCAUAGUGUAGUGGUUAUCACGUUAAGCCUCCACACCUUGAAAGGUCCCCAGUUGAAACUGGGUGGAAACA
This 75-nucleotide transfer RNA is filed under the name Alosa alosa (allis shad). RNAcentral describes it as "tRNA-Trp". The record is from RNAcentral. Lineage: Eukaryota; Metazoa; Chordata; Actinopteri; Clupeiformes; Clupeidae.